GGGGUCCUACGGGGGGCAGCAGUCGAGAAUCAUUCACAAUGGGGGAAACCCUGAUGGUGCGACGCCGCGUAGGGGAAUGAGGGUCUUCGGAUUGUAAACCCCUGUCAUGUGGGAGCAAAUUAAAAAGAUAGUACCACAAGAGGAAGAGACGGCUAACUCUGUGCCAGCAGCCGCGGUAAUACAGAGGUCUCAAGCGUUGUCCGGAAUCACUGGGCGUAAAGCGUGCGUAGGCUGUUUCGUAAGUCGUGUGUGAAAGGCGCGGGCUCAACCAGCGGACGGCACAUGAUACUGCGAGACUCGAGUAA
Molecule: ribosomal RNA, 305 nt
Filed under: uncultured bacterium
Lineage: Bacteria
Description: bacterial SSU rRNA
Rfam family: Bacterial small subunit ribosomal RNA
Source: RNAcentral